CCGCUGGCGGCAUGCCUAACACAUGCAAGUCGAACGCUUGUCGGGCUUCGGUCCGGCAGGAGUGGCGCACGGGUGAGUAGCGCGUGGGAACCUGCCCUGUUGUGGGGGAUAACCGAGGGAAACUUCGGCUAAUACCGCAUGCGCCCGCGGAGUUGAUCCGCGGGGAAAGAUUUAUCGCAGCAGGAGGGGCCCGCGUCGGAUUAGCUGGUUGGCGGGGUAACGGCCCACCAAGGCGAUGAUCCGUAGCUGGUCUGAGAGGAUGAUCAGCCACACUGGGACCGAGACACGGCCCAGACUCCUACGGGAGGCAGCAGUGGGGAAUAUUGGACAAUGGGGGCAACCCUGAUCCAGCAAUGCCGCGUGAGUGAUGAAGGCCUUCGGGUUGUAAAGCUCUUUCGCCCGCGACGAUGAUGACGGUAGCGGGAGAAGAAGCCCCGGCUAACUUCGUGCCAGCAGCCGCGGUAAUACGAAGGGGGCGAGCGUUGUUCGGAAUCACUGGGCGUAAAGGGCGCGUAGGCGGCCCUCUUUUGUCGCGUGUGAAAGCCCCGGGCUCAACCUGGGAACGGCGCGCGAAACGGGGGGGCUGGAGUUCGGGAGAGGAGAGUGGAAUUCCCAGUGUAGAGGUGAAAUUCGUAGAUAUUGGGAAAGAACACCGGUGGCGAAGGCGGCUCUCUGGACCGAGACUGACGCUGAAGCGCGAAAGCGUGGGGAGCAACAGGAUUAGAUACCCUGGUAGUCCACGCCGUAAAC
RNAcentral lists this ribosomal RNA (750 nucleotides) under uncultured bacterium. RNAcentral describes it as "bacterial SSU rRNA". It matches the Rfam family "Bacterial small subunit ribosomal RNA", at positions 33 to 807 of the family's 1533-position model. The record is from RNAcentral.